CGUUCCCGGGCCUUGUACACACCGCCCGUCACACCAUGGGAGUUGGUUUUACCUGAAGACGGUGUUCUAACCCGCAAGGGAGAAAGCCGGCCACGGUAAGGUCAGCGACUGGGGUG
This 116-nucleotide ribosomal RNA is filed under the name uncultured bacterium. Its description in RNAcentral is "partial 16S ribosomal RNA". It matches the Rfam family "Bacterial small subunit ribosomal RNA", at positions 1369 to 1482 of the family's 1533-position model. The record is from RNAcentral.